UGGGGAAUUUUGGACAAUGGGCGAAGCCUGAUCCAGCAAUGCCGCGUGUGUGAAGAAGGCCUUCGGGUUGUAAAGCACUUUUGUCCGGAAAGAAAUCCUUGGCUCUAAUACAGUCGGGGGAUGACGGUACCGGAAGAAUAAGCACCGGCUAACUACGUGCCAGCAGCCGCGGUAAUACGUAGGGUGCAAGCGUUAAUCGGGAAUUACUGGGCGUAAAGCGUGCGCAGGCGGUUUGCUAAGACCGAUGUGAAAUCCCCGGGCUCAACCUGGGAACUGCAUUGGUGACUGGCAGGCUAGAGUAUGGCAGAGGGGGGUAGAUUGCCACGUGUAGCAGUGAAAUGCGUAGAGAUGUGGAGGAAUACCGAUGGCGAAGGCAGCCCCCUGGGCCAAUACUGACGCUCAUGCACGAAAGGCGUGGGGAGCAAACAGGAUUAGAUACCCU
This 442-nucleotide ribosomal RNA is filed under the name uncultured bacterium. RNAcentral describes it as "partial 16S ribosomal RNA". It matches the Rfam family "Bacterial small subunit ribosomal RNA", at positions 355 to 788 of the family's 1533-position model. The record is from RNAcentral.